GCCGCGGUGGUUUAGAGGUUAGAGCGUUCGUCCCGCAUGCGGAAGGCCGGGGCCGGGUUCGAACCCCGGCCGCGACA
This is a non-coding RNA of Ostrea edulis (European flat oyster), 77 nucleotides long. Lineage: Eukaryota; Metazoa; Mollusca; Bivalvia; Ostreida; Ostreidae. The record is from the annotation of a RefSeq genome assembly.